UGGGGAAUAUUGCGCAAUGGGGGAAACCCUGACGCAGCAACGCCGCGUGAGUGAGGAAGGCCCUCGGGUCGUAAAGCUCUGUCAGAUGGGAAGAAAGUGCAUUGGUCUAAUAGGCCAAUGUAUUGACGGUACCUUCAGAGGAAGCACCGGCUAACUUCGUGCCAGCAGCCGCGGUAAUACGAAGGGUGCAAGCGUUAUUCGGAUUUACUGGGCGUAAAGCGCGCGCAGGCGGAUUGGUAAGUCAGAUGUGAAAUCUCGGGGCUCAACCCCGAAACUGCGUCUGAAACUAUCAAUCUAGAGUCUUGGAGGGGGAAGUGGAAUUUCGCAUGUAGGGGUAAAAUCCGUAGAGAUGCGAAGGAACACCAGAGGCGAAGGCGACUUCCUGGCCAAGUACUGACGCUGAGGCGCGAAAGCGUGGGGAGCAAACAGGAUUAGAUACCCCCGUAGUCC
Molecule: ribosomal RNA, 450 nt
Filed under: uncultured prokaryote
Description: bacterial SSU rRNA
Rfam family: Bacterial small subunit ribosomal RNA
Source: RNAcentral